RNAcentral lists this long non-coding RNA (474 nucleotides) under Phoenix dactylifera (date palm). RNAcentral's name for it is "long non-coding RNA (PDAC_LNC011376)". The record is from RNAcentral. Lineage: Eukaryota; Viridiplantae; Streptophyta; Magnoliopsida; Arecales; Arecaceae.
CCCGGGUUGUUUAGUUGGGAUUGAUAGCUCUUUCUUUAUAUGCGAACCAUUCUUGACAAAUUUAGACAACAAGUGAUAUUCUGAAAAUUUGAUGGAUCAGGUUCUAAUAAAGUGUAGAAAACAUUUGUGGACUUGAGUAGUGCACCUAAAACUCAGGCGGGGCUCUGUUGUGGUGGAGGUAUUAGUACUCUGAGAAAAUCAUAUGAUUUGAUGCACACUACACUUUUAUAUUCCUUGCUUUGGCAGUUGCCAUACUUGAAAAUAUUUGUCAAUUAAUUACAUGUGUAUUAGCUUAGGGUUUAUUUUUAUUAGAAUCUCAUGUCAUAUAAUUCAUGAUGUUUGUGGGUAACAUCCCUGAAAAUCCUCACGAGACAACACUCGUCCACUAGGGUAACCUAGGGGUUUAACGGCUUGUUGCACGUGCUAAGUGCAAUCGUGAUUCCUACGAAAGUGAGUACUUAUCUUAAUUUUAUG